RNAcentral lists this ribosomal RNA (456 nucleotides) under Vermamoeba vermiformis. RNAcentral's name for it is "SSU rRNA". It matches the Rfam family "Eukaryotic small subunit ribosomal RNA", at positions 1258 to 1716 of the family's 1831-position model. Lineage: Eukaryota; Tubulinea; Echinamoebida; Vermamoebidae. The record is from RNAcentral.
UUUCUUGAUUCAGUGGGUGGUGGUGCAUGGCCGUUCUUAGUUGGUGGAGUGAUUUGUCUGGUUAAUUCCGUUAACGAACGAGACCUUAACCUGCUAAAUAGUCACGCGAACCGGUCCGCAAGGGCUCAAAGUUCGCGGCUCGACUUCUUAGAGGGACUAUUCGCACCCGCCAGCGAAUGGAAGUUUGAGGCAAUAACAGGUCUGUGAUGCCCUUAGAUGUUCUCGGCCGCACGCGCGUUACACUGACGGAGUCAACGAGCGUUUUUCCUUGCCCGAUAGGGUUGGGUAACCUCCUGAAACUCCGUCGUGAUGGGGAUAGAUCAUUGCAAUUAUUGAUCUUGAACGAGGAAUUCCUAGUAGGCGCGAGUCAUCAACUCGCGCCGAUUACGUCCCUGCCCUUUGUACACACCGCCCGUCGCUCCUACCGAUUGAACGGUCCGGCGAGAACUCCGGAUG